CAUGGAUAGAGAUCUAGAUCAUUUGGCUGUUCCGUCAGUGUGUAUUGACUCCCGUGAAAUGACCAGUAGCUUAAUGGUGGAUUGUAACCGAUCAAAUCGACCAACAAGACCCGGAAUAUUAAAAACUCACAAACAGAAGCCAAAUUUUCAGCCACACAAACCUGUGUGCAGCCAGUAGUUCACCCACUGUUGGUUGCCGUGGAAGGCACAGGACUGAGCCAGCUCGUUCUCGUGGUGGGGGAAGAUGAGGUCCUCUCCUCCAGAGUGCAGGUCGAAGUUACAGCCGAAUAUCCCGCUGCCUCCGGGAGAAAGACAAGACAUGCAGAAAGAUCAUCAUACCAUCCUGUGCUUUGUAAGCAAGUCCCCGCUGUUGGAUGCCGUUGAUGAAGUCUAUGAUGACAGGAAUGUGGUCAGUGACUCGAGUGACCACGCUAGGAGGGGACACAUUCAGAAACCAUCCUGUCUAACUGUGGGCGGAGAAUACGACGAAAACAGCGAUAAAAAAGACGCAGACAAAGAAAGAAAGCAAUGACGAAGACGAAGAAUUCGACGAAGAGGACAGAACAACAUCCAGGUCUCUGCACCAUAUAGGAAUAUGGGGAAGAUGUAGCAUUCCAGCAUUUCUUUUUUUACAACGAGAGAUAUUUGCCUGGAUUUAAAUAGUUUGUACAUUAAAAUUUGGCUGAAUCUUG
This is a long non-coding RNA of Aplysia californica (California sea hare), 692 nucleotides long. RefSeq lists it as uncharacterized. The transcript has 5 exons. Lineage: Eukaryota; Metazoa; Mollusca; Gastropoda; Aplysiida; Aplysiidae. The record is from RefSeq and is a predicted model, not a curated record.